AGCGGCGGACGGGUGAGUAACGCGUGGGUAACCUGCCCUAUACACACGGAUAACAUACCGAAAGGUAUGCUAAUACGAGAUAAUAUAAGAGAUUCGCAUGGAUUUCUUAUCAAAGCUGAGGCGGUGUAGGAUGGACCCGCGUCUGAUUAGCUAGUUGGUAAGGCAACGGCUUACCAAGGCGACGAUCAGUAGCCGACCUGAGAGGGUGAUCGGCCACAUUGGAACUGAGACACGGUCCAAACUCCUACGGGAGGCAGCAGUGGGGAAUAUUGCACAAUGGGCGAAAGCCUGAUGCAGCAACGCCGCGUGAGUGAUGAAGGCCUUCGGGUCGUAAAACUCUGUCCUCAAGGAAGAUAAUGACGGUACUUGAGGAGGAAGCCCCGGCUAACUACGUGCCAGCAGCCGCGGUAAUACGUAGGGGGCUAGCGUUAUCCGGAUUUACUGGGCGUAAAGGGUGCGUAGGUGGUCUCUUAAGUCAGGAGUGAAAGGCUACGGCUUAACCGUAGUAAGCUCUUGAAACUGGGAGACUUGAGUGCAGGAGAGGAAAGUGGAAUUCCUAGUGUAGCGGUGAAAUGCGUAGAUAUUAGGAGGAACACCAGUAGCGAAGGCGGCUUUCUGGACUGUAACUGACACUGAGGCACGAAAGCGUGGGGUGCAAACAGGAUUAGAUACCCUGGUAGUCCACGCCGUAAACGGUGAGUACUAGGUGU
Molecule: ribosomal RNA, 710 nt
Filed under: uncultured bacterium
Lineage: Bacteria
Description: bacterial SSU rRNA
Rfam family: Bacterial small subunit ribosomal RNA
Source: RNAcentral